GCUCAGGGGACACGGGGUAAUGUGUGCACACAUGCAGCCGUGCCUCUGCCAUAAUGCAAGGUGAUUAAUUCAGUGCAUCUCCACCUUUUGCGCUGCACAUGCAUCAGGUAACAUCAGCUUUUGGAGCAUCAAAUGUUGUGUUCUCUGUUUAUUCUAAACACACUGAGGUCCCAAAGCAGAUCCCAUACUGAGCCGGAUGAUGAUAUUUCUUUUUUUGGAUUCUUGUAAGCAAAAUGCUUUGUUAAAGAAAAAUGUAAAGAAGUUUUUUUUAAAAAGGUUUUAAAUUCAUGUAACUGUGUAAAAUAGAAAAUAAUAUUUACAUAGCACCUUCAGUACAGUACUUUCUGGUGCGCCAUCAUAGGAAAGAUUUAAUAGAUUUUUUUAUUAUUCAAAUAACUUGCUAUCCAUAUUUCAAAAACAGAAAUUAAAUUACUUGACUUUAAAGGUACAUGAAGACACAUCAUGAUGAACAUAACUACUAUUCAUAAAUCAUUGCAAUAUAUACAGAUCCUAAAUCAUCGAACUUCUUAUAUAUAAAUUACUAAGCAGAAACAUAAAAUGAAAGAAGACAAUGCAAAACCUAAACAGAUACAACAUAAUUUGAAAUUAUUUACCCCUGUAGUCAUCAAAUAUGCUGCCUUUCAUCGAUUUUUGUUUUUUGAAAACUUGUAAUAAACUUCAAGACCAAACUUAAGUCCAUGCUUUUCCAUGCAACCGCAGAGGGAAGCAAUAGGUCUGUUGAUGCUGACUUAAUCUCCUAAGAGAUUGUCAAUAUACAAAAAGUCUUCUACGUGACCACCUUGCAAGGAAGAAGCCAUUAUCCUAAAAUAGUCAGAUUAUAAUUUUGAAAACAAAGACUACUCCACUUCGAAGUCUAGAGUUAAUCUAACAAAAUAGAAAACCAGAAUGCCACUGAAAGGUUCAAAAUAAUCCAAAGACCAUGGCUGGAAGAGCAUUAAAUUACAACUAAAAAUUAUUGAAGAUUUCAAGCAUUCAAAAAUGGUUUAUGGCCUCAUUGUAAAGGCAAUCUUCUCAAAAUAUUAGCUGGGCUUGUUUGUAGCUUUAAUCAGAUCCGGGGUGGAAUUACAUGUUCAGAGCUUCACUUUUAGGAUCUUGCUGCCUGAGGCACCAUCUGAAGUGGGCAGCGAAGCGGGAGCUGCUGUGAGCAGCUGUGAUUAGGGCCGCCAUGACCCGUUGAAUACCCUGUAAUUACAGCUGUAACUGAUGCUGAGCUGAUCACAAACCUUUUUGCUUCUUUUUCUUCUUUUUAAGCCUUUUUUUGUACUUCCUUGAAACGUUCUCCCAUUUUGUCAUGUUACAGCCACAAACACCAAAGUGUUUUACCGAGUUCUUAUGUUAUAAACUGUCACGGAGUGGUGGGUAGUUGUAAAGCUGAAGGAAAUCGGUUUAUGUUUGUCAAAAUUUGUGACUUUAUAGAGUCGCAUGUGCCUAAAACCUGGGGGAUUGUAUCUCUACCUGUCCAACAGAUCUUUGCUAAUUACCUGAAGUUCAAUCACACUGGAUGGUGGCAGCACACACCUCACAGUGAGAAAGUAUUCCAGCCAAACAAAGUCCUGGAAGAAGAAAGUUCGGAAAAUGACCCGGGAUCCAAGGUGAUACACUCGGGCUUGUGGUGACCCUUGAGAUGACACAUCUGAACGAGACGGCGGUACAGCAGGGAAGAUUCUGUUCUACGUCAGUGGCUAUCGACUUCAAAAAGGAAACAUGAAGAUGGUGCUCUUCUCAACUUUCUGUCCUGUCUCCAGCAGAAAGUUGAAUCAGGACACUGUGAGGUACACUCAUGUGACGUGGAUAAAGGGUGAAAGCCAGAGUACCCAGAGAGAGGCCAUGCAUUCACAAGGAGAAUGUGCAAAUUUCUUACAGACAGAAUGUCCCUCCUGCAACUUGAACUGACUGCCCUCCUUCUCUACGGCAACAGGGCUUAAAAACUGCUGCACUGUGCAGCCAAAUAAACAGGAUUAUGUUUCUGGACACCCUCAUCAACCCAAAAGAGUAAAGAAAUAAUACAAAAAAUAAACUUUGUUACCUUUAUUUUAUAGAAAUGUCUGAGCAAUUAUGGCACCAGUUUUGUAAAGCUAUUUCAUAAUGUGAGACUGUUUCCCAAAAAUGAAUUUACCUUUUAUUCAUUUUUUACAACAUCACAUUCAACUUCCUCCAUGCGCUGGAGGGCGUUGAAAAGAAAACAGAUUAAAAUGGCCAUACCUACUCUGUGUGUUCCUC
Gambusia affinis (western mosquitofish) is the source of this 2241-nucleotide long non-coding RNA. RefSeq lists it as uncharacterized. The record is from RefSeq and is a predicted model, not a curated record. NCBI's taxonomy places the organism in Eukaryota, Metazoa, Chordata, Actinopteri, Cyprinodontiformes, Poeciliidae. The transcript is spliced from 4 exons.